CCUACGGGAGGCAGCAGUGGGGAAUAUUGGGCAAUGGGCGCAAGCCUGACCCAGCAACGCCGCGUGAAGGAAGAAGGCUUUCGGGUUGUAAACUUCUUUUCUCAGGGACGAAGCAAGUGACGGUACCUGAGGACUAAGCCACGGCUAACUACGUGCAAGCAGCCGCGUUAAUACGUAGGUGGCAAGCGUUAUCCGGAUUUACUUGGUGUAAAGCGCGUGUAGGCGGGACUGCAAGUCAGAUGUGAAAACCACGGGCUAAACCUGUGGCCUGCAUUUGAAACUGUAGUUCGUGAGUACUGGAGAGGCAGACGGAAUGCCUAGGGGAGCGGUGAAAUGCGUAGAUAUUAGGAGGAACACCAGUGGCGAAGGCGGUCGGCUGGACAGCAACUGACGCUGAGGCGCGAAAGCGUGGGGAGCAAACAGGAUUAGAUACCCGAGUAGUC
This 443-nucleotide ribosomal RNA is filed under the name uncultured bacterium. Its description in RNAcentral is "partial 16S ribosomal RNA". It matches the Rfam family "Bacterial small subunit ribosomal RNA", at positions 338 to 795 of the family's 1533-position model. The record is from RNAcentral.